GAUGAACGCUGGCGGCGUGCCUAAUACAUGCAAGUCGAGCGAACGGACGAGAAGCUUGCUUUUCUGAUGUUAGCGGCGGACGGGUGAGUAACACGUGGAUAACCUACCUAUAAGACUGGGAUAACUUCGGGAAACCGGAGCUAAUACCGGAUAAUAUUUUGAACCGCAUGGUUCAAAAGUGAAAGACGGUCUUGCUGUCACUUAUAGAUGGAUCCGCGCUGCAUUAGCUAGUUGGUAAGGUAACGGCUUACCAAGGCAACGAUGCAUAGCCGACCUGAGAGGGUGAUCGGCCACACUGGAACUGAGACACGGUCCAGACUCCUACGGGAGGCAGCAGUAGGGAAUCUUCCGCAAAGGGCGAAAGCCUGACGGAGCAACGCCGCGUGAGUGAUGAAGGUCUUCGGAUCGUAAAACUCUGUUAUUAGGGAAGAACAUAUGUGUAAGUAACUGUGCACAUCUUGACGGUACCUAACCAGAAAGCCACGGCUAACUACGUG
This 497-nucleotide ribosomal RNA is filed under the name uncultured bacterium. RNAcentral's name for it is "partial 16S ribosomal RNA". It matches the Rfam family "Bacterial small subunit ribosomal RNA", at positions 28 to 507 of the family's 1533-position model. The record is from RNAcentral.